This 301-nucleotide ribosomal RNA is filed under the name uncultured bacterium. RNAcentral describes it as "partial 16S ribosomal RNA". It matches the Rfam family "Bacterial small subunit ribosomal RNA", at positions 509 to 809 of the family's 1533-position model. The record is from RNAcentral.
CAGUCGCCGCGGGAAUACGUAGGUGGCAAGCGUUGUCCGGAAUUAUUGGGCGUAAAGCGCGCGCAGGCGGAUAGGUCAGUCUGUCUUAAAAGUUCGGGGCUUAACCCCGUGAUGGGAUGGAAGCUGCCAAUCUAGAGUAUCGGAGAGGAAAGUGGAAUUCCCAGUGUAGCGGUGAAAUGCGUAGAUAUUAGGCAGAACACCAGUGGCGAAGGCGACUUUCUGGACGAAAACUGACGCUGAGGCGCGAAAGCCAGGGGAGCGAACGGGAUUAGAUACCCCAGUAGUCCCUGUCUCUUAUACA